AAAGCAGGAGAAAACAAAACUAAGAAAAUAACAUGUUUUUGCUGUGGAACAUUAGGACACAAAGCAAAUGUAUGUGAUUUUAGAAAAGGAAAAACCAAAAGAAAAAUUAAAAGGGUUUGGGUUCCAAAAGGAACCAACAUUACUAACCAUGAAGGACCCAAGAAAACUUGGGUACCUAAAACUGUAUGAUUUGCUUGUGUAG
RNAcentral lists this long non-coding RNA (202 nucleotides) under Phoenix dactylifera (date palm). RNAcentral describes it as "long non-coding RNA (PDAC_LNC011750)". The record is from RNAcentral. Lineage: Eukaryota; Viridiplantae; Streptophyta; Magnoliopsida; Arecales; Arecaceae.